AAAGAAAACAUUUAUUAACGUAUCAUUACGAGAGGAGCGCCCGGCCGGGGCUGUCGCAAGCCCCGCGCAACACCUGGCUUCUACGAGCUCCAAGGGAGGAGAAAAAGAAAGCGGAAAGGAGGCAAGGAUUCUUUCUCUUCGUUUCCAGCCAAGUGGACCUGAUCGAUGGCCCUCCUGACUUUAUUGCGAUAUUUGAUUUAUUAGGGAUGCCCCCCUCGCGCGCGUGUGUGUUAACACACACACCCCCGCGCAAGCACGCCUCGGGCCCGCGUCCCUCCCUCAUUUCCACCUCCCGGGCGAAGCCCACAGCUGUUUCAACUCUCCACCGAGGGCGAGCGGGAGCGAGUGUGUGCCGGGUCCGUGAGUAAAGAGGGAAGAGAAACAAACCCACGGAGCACAGCUCCAGACUCCUGCAUCCCGCCAGAAGCAAGGGGAUCCGCAGAAACGUGACAUGGCCCCGGCCGGCGUCCUACUUUGCUUGCUCUCUGCAGCGGUCUUCUCCCUACUGGACGGAAGCGCGGCUUUCCUGUCCCACCACCGCCUGAAAGGCAGGUUUCAGAGGGAUCGCAGAAACAUUCGUCCCAACAUCAUCCUGGUGCUGACGGACGACCAGGACGUGGAGCUCGGCUCCAUGCAGGUGAUGAACAAGACGCGGCGCAUCAUGGAGCGGGGCGGGGCGCACUUCAUCAACGCCUUCGUGACCACGCCCAUGUGCUGCCCCUCGCGCUCCUCCAUCCUCACCGGGAAGUACGUCCACAACCACAACACCUACACCAACAAUGAAAACUGCUCCUCGCCCUCCUGGCAGGCGCAGCACGAGAGCCGCACCUUUGCCGUCUAUCUCAACAGCACCGGCUACCGGACAGCUUUCUUCGGGAAGUACCUUAAUGAAUACAACGGCUCCUACGUGCCACCAGGCUGGAAGGAAUGGGUCGGCCUCCUCAAAAACUCCCGCUUUUAUAACUACACGCUGUGUCGGAAUGGAGUGAAGGAGAAACACGGCUUUGACUACUCCAAGGACUACCUGACGGACCUGAUCACCAAUGACAGCGUGAGCUUCUUCCGCACGUCCAAGAAGAUGUACCCGCACAGACCUGUGCUCAUGGUCAUCAGCCACGCAGCCCCCCACGGUCCUGAGGACUCAGCCCCCCAGUACUCAAGCCUCUUCCCUAAUGCAUCUCAGCACAUCACCCCCAGCUACAACUACGCGCCCAACCCCGACAAGCACUGGAUCAUGCGUUACACGGGGCCCAUGAAGCCGAUCCACAUGCAGUUCACCAACAUGCUGCAGCGGAAGCGCCUGCAGACCCUCCUGUCGGUGGACGACUCCAUGGAGACGAUUUACAACAUGCUGGUGGAGACCGGUGAGCUGGACAACACCUACAUCGUGUACACAGCCGACCACGGCUACCACAUCGGCCAGUUCGGACUGGUGAAAGGGAAGUCCAUGCCCUAUGAGUUCGACAUCAGGGUCCCGUUCUACGUGAGGGGCCCCAACGUGGAGGCCGGCUCCCUGAAUCCCCACAUCGUCCUCAACAUCGACCUGGCCCCCACCAUCCUGGACAUCGCCGGGCUGGACAUCCCCUCGGAUAUGGACGGGAAAUCCAUCCUCAAGCUACUGGACACAGAGCGGCCGGCGAAUCGGUUUCACUUGAAAAAGAAGCUGCGGGUCUGGCGGGACUCCUUCCUGGUGGAGAGAGGCAAACUGCUGCACAAGAGGGACAGCGACAAGGUGGAUGCCCAGGAGGAGAACUUCCUGCCCAAGUACCAGCGCGUCAAAGACCUGUGCCAGCGCGCCGAGUACCAGACGGCGUGCGAGCAGCUGGGGCAGAAGUGGCAGUGCGUGGAGGACGCCUCGGGGAAGCUGAAGCUGCACAAGUGCAAGGGCCCCGCGCGGCCCGGGGGCAGGGCCGUCUCCAACCUGGUGCCCAAGUACUACGUGCAGGGCAGCGAGGGCUGCGUCUGCGAUGGCGGGGACGGCCAGCUCACCCUGGCCGGACGCCGGAAGAAGCUCUUCAAGAAGAAGUACAAGGCCAGCUACGCCCGGAAUCGCUCCAUCCGCUCGGUGGCCGUCAGGGGGCACCACGUCAGCCCGGACGACGCAUCCCAGCCCCGCAACCUCACUAAGCGGCGCUGGCCGGGAGCCCCUGAGGACCGAGAGGACAGGGACGGCGGGGACUUCAGUGGCACUGGGGGCCUCCUGGACUACUCGGCCCCUAGCCCCAUUAAAGUCACACAUCGGUGCUACAUCCUGGAGAAUGACACGGUCCAGUGUGACCGGGGCCUGUACAAGUCCCUGCAGGCCUGGAGGGACCACAAGCUGCACAUCGACCACGAGAUCGAGACCCUGCAGAACAAAAUCAAGAACCUAAGAGAAGUCCGAGGUCACCUGAAGAGAAAGCGGCCAGAAGAAUGUGACUGUCACAAAAUCAGUUACCACGCCCAGCACAAAGGCCGCCUCAAGCACAAAGGCUCCAGCCUGCAUCCUUUCAGGAAGGGUCUGCAGGAGAAGGACAAGGUGUGGCUGCUACGGGAGCAGAAGCGCAAGAAGAAACUCCGCAAGCUGCUCAAGCGCCUGCAAAACAACGACACAUGCAGCAUGCCAGGCCUCACGUGCUUCACCCACGACAACCAGCACUGGCAGACGGCGCCCCUCUGGACAUUGGGGCCUUUCUGCGCCUGCACCAGCGCCAACAACAACACGUACUGGUGCAUGAGGACCAUCAACGAAACCCACAAUUUCCUCUUCUGUGAAUUCGCGACCGGCUUCCUGGAGUACUUCGAUCUCAACACAGACCCCUACCAGUUGAUGAAUGCAGUGAACACACUGGACAGGGACAUCCUCAAUCAGCUACACGUGCAGCUCAUGGAACUGAGGAGCUGCAAGGGUUACAAGCAGUGUAACCCCCGGACCCGGAACAUGGACCUGGGACUUAAAGAUGGAGGAAGCUAUGAGCAAUACAGGCAGUUUCAGCGUCGAAAGUGGCCAGAAAUGAAGAGACCUUCUUCCAAAUCACUGAAGCAGCCGUGUCAGUCUUUCCAGUAAAAUAACCUACUUGGAUACACUGCAUGUACUAGAUCAAUACUUGUUGUUCUCCACAUCAUCAUCUCUGCUUUGGAAGCGCAAGGCCUCCCUGACAGGCUCAGAAGCGUGUCAGUCAGCUGAGUACCAGGGGACAGCUGUGGGAAGGCUGGGAAGGUUAAGAAGCACGAGCUGGACCUCCAAAAACAGAGGCGUCACCUGUACAAUGAAAAACCCUGAAUGAUUUCCAGCAGACCUGUGCUGUUAGCCAGGAGGCCGAGACACACGGAACCCGCCUUCAGUCAACGCGGCAGAUUCUGGACGAGAACCAACGGGAGCAGUGAGACUUCCAGAAGUACAUGCUUGUCCCUGCUUUUGCUUUGGAUUAUACCUCACCAGCUGCACAAAACGCAUUUUCAUGUCAGAAAGUCACCACUAACCCUCUCUGAGGGGCUCAAAAGGGAAGAACAACAGAGAGAUUUUCUUGGAAAUUUCCCCCAAGGGCGAAAGUCACUGGAAUUUUUUUUAAAUUACAGGGAAAGAGCCACCCUGUUUUAGAUCCUCUUAUUCUUUUGGUUCGUCACAAAGAAGGAGCAGGACAGAGGCAGGAAAUGGUGCACCAAGUUUGACAAUGAGUCAAUAGCACAAAAGACACGAAUUUCUAUCUCGCCCUAUAACCCUGGCUGCCUCUGAAGACAGUGACUUCAAUGUAUAUAUGUGACUAUUUACAUGUAACCAGCUCGGAAACUUCUAGGGGAAUCUAAUAAGAAAACCCAAUUUUCAGGAGUGGUGGUGUUAAUAAAUGGUGUGGCCCAUGUAAAAGAAAA
Molecule: RNA transcript, 3849 nt
Organism: Dama dama (fallow deer)
Lineage: Eukaryota; Metazoa; Chordata; Mammalia; Artiodactyla; Cervidae
Gene: SULF2
Gene name: sulfatase 2
Exons: 22
Source: RefSeq, a predicted model, not a curated record